Molecule: ribosomal RNA, 453 nt
Filed under: uncultured Acidovorax sp.
Lineage: Bacteria; Pseudomonadati; Pseudomonadota; Betaproteobacteria; Burkholderiales; Comamonadaceae
Description: bacterial SSU rRNA
Rfam family: Bacterial small subunit ribosomal RNA
Source: RNAcentral
AAGCGGUGGAUGAUGUGGUUAAUUCGAUGCAACGCGAAAACCUUACCACCUUUGACAUGUACGGAAUCCUUUAGAGAUAGAGGAGUGCUCGAAAGAGAGCCGUAACACAGGUGCUGCAUGGCUGUCGUCAGCUCGUGUCGUGAGAUGUUGGGUUAAGUCCCCGCAACGAGCGCAACCCUUGUCAUUAGUUGCUACAUUCAGUUGGGCACUCUAAUGAGACUGCCGGUGACAAACCGGAGGAAGGUGGGGAUGACGUCAAGUCCUCAUGGCCCUUAUAGGUGGGGCUACACACGUCAUACAAUGGAUGGUACAAAGGGUCGCCAACCCGCGAGGGGGAGCCAAUCCCAUAAAGCCAUUCGUAGUCCGGAUCGCAGUCUGCAACUCGACUGCGUGAAGUCGGAAUCGCUAGUAAUCGUGGAUCAGAAUGUCACGGUGAAUACGUUCCCGGGUCUU